UUUUUUUGCGGAGAGUUUGAUCCUGGCUCAGGAUGAACGCUGGCGGCGUGCUUAAUACAUGCAAGUCGAACGGAGUAUGUAGCAAUACGUACUUAGUGGCGAACGGGUGAGUAACGCGUUGGUGACCUGCCUCGAAGAGAG
This 141-nucleotide ribosomal RNA is filed under the name Chloroflexota bacterium. Its description in RNAcentral is "Chloroflexi bacterium (anaerobic digester metagenome) partial 16S ribosomal RNA". It matches the Rfam family "Bacterial small subunit ribosomal RNA", at positions 1 to 140 of the family's 1533-position model. The record is from RNAcentral. Lineage: Bacteria; Bacillati; Chloroflexota.